RNAcentral lists this transfer RNA (73 nucleotides) under Stegodyphus mimosarum. It matches the Rfam family "tRNA". Rfam says of the family: Transfer RNA (tRNA) molecules are approximately 80 nucleotides in length. Lineage: Eukaryota; Metazoa; Arthropoda; Arachnida; Araneae; Eresidae. The record is from Rfam by way of RNAcentral.
GUCGUCGUGGUGUAGUGGUCAGCACGCUCGGUGGGUAUUCGAGAGGUUCGUGGUUCGAAUCCCGGCGAGGGCA